Regulatory RNA element from Variovorax sp. PAMC 28711, 73 nucleotides. It matches the Rfam family "Fluoride riboswitch aptamer (crcB RNA motif)". The record is from Rfam. NCBI's taxonomy places the organism in Bacteria, Pseudomonadati, Pseudomonadota, Betaproteobacteria, Burkholderiales, Comamonadaceae.
UUUUUCGACGGAGAUGGCAUUCCUUCCGUGAACCGCCCUGGCAUCGCCCGGGGCUAAUGAUGCCUACAGACAC